UACAGAGGGUGCGAGCGUUAAUCGGAAUUACUGGGCGUAAAGCGUGCGUAGACGGUAGCGUAAGUCAGAUGUGAAAGCCCCGGGCUCAACCUGGGAAUUGCAUUUGAGACUGCUCUGCUCGGGUGACGGAAGAGGGAAGCGGAAUUUCCGGUGUAGCGGUGAAAUGCGUAGAUAUCGGAAGGAACACCAGUGGCGAAAGCGGCUUCCUGGUCCGACACCGACGUUCAGGCACGAAAGCGUGGGGAGCAAACAGG
RNAcentral lists this ribosomal RNA (254 nucleotides) under uncultured bacterium. RNAcentral describes it as "partial 16S ribosomal RNA". It matches the Rfam family "Bacterial small subunit ribosomal RNA", at positions 524 to 776 of the family's 1533-position model. The record is from RNAcentral.